CAAAUUUCUGCCCUAUCAACUUUCGAUGGUAGAGUAGUGGUCUACCAUGGUUUCAACGGGUAACGGGGAAUUAGGGUUCUAUUCCGGAGAGGGAGCCUGAGAAACGGCUACCACAUCCAAGGAAGGCAGCAGGCGCGCAAAUUACCCAAUCCCGACACGGGGAGGUAGUGACAAUAAAUACUGAUACAGGGCUCUUUUGGGUCUUGUAAUUGGAAUGAGUACAAUUUAAAUCCCUUAACGAGGAACAAUUGGAGGGCAAGUCUGGUGCCAGCAGCCGCGGUAAUUCCAGCUCCAAUAGCGUAUAUUAAAGUUGUUGCAGUUAAAAAGCUCGUAGUUGAACCUUGGGCCUGGUGGCCGGUCCGCCUCACCGCGUGCACUGGUCCGGCCGGGCCUUUCCUUCUGGGGAGCCGAUGCCCUUCACUGGGUGUGUCGGGGAACCAGGACUUUUUACUUUGAAAAAAUUAGAGUGUUCAAAGCAGGCCUAUGUUCGAAAUACAUUAGCAUGGAAUAAUAGAAUAGGACGUGUGGUUC
Molecule: ribosomal RNA, 531 nt
Filed under: uncultured fungus
Lineage: Eukaryota; Fungi
Description: SSU rRNA
Rfam family: Eukaryotic small subunit ribosomal RNA
Source: RNAcentral